This 253-nucleotide ribosomal RNA is filed under the name uncultured bacterium. RNAcentral describes it as "partial 16S ribosomal RNA". It matches the Rfam family "Bacterial small subunit ribosomal RNA", at positions 524 to 776 of the family's 1533-position model. The record is from RNAcentral.
UACGGAGGGUGCAAGCGUUAUCCGGAUUCACUGGGUUUAAAGGGCGCGUAGGCGGCCAACUAAGUCGGACGUGAAAUCCCCGGGCUCAACCCGGGAACUGCGUCCGAUACUGGAUGGCUUGAAUCCGGGAGAGGGAUGUGGAAUUCCAGGUGUAGCGGUGAAAUGCGUAGAUAUCUGGAGGAACACCGGUGGCGAAGGCGGCAUCCUGGACCGGUAUUGACGCUGAGGCGCGAAAGCCAGGGGAGCAAACGGG